AGUGAACGCUGGCGGCGUGCUUAACACAUGCAAGUCGAACGAGAACGGGUUAUAGCUUGCUAUAAUUGUCAGCUAAGUGGCGCACGGGUGAGUAAUGUAUAGGUAAUAUGCCUCUUACUAAGGGAUAACAAUUGGAAACGAUUGCUAAUACCUUAUACUCCUUAUUAACUAAAGUUAGUAAGGGAAAGAUUUAUUGGUAAGAGAUUAGCCUGUAUUGUAUCAGUUAGUUGGUGGGGUAAUGGCCUACCAAGACUAUGACGCAUAACUGGUUUGAGAGGAUGAUCAGUCACACUGGAACUGAGACACGGUCCAGACUCCUACGGGAGGCAGCAGUGGGGAAUAUUGCACAAUGGACGAAAGUCUGACGCAGCGACGCCGCGUGGGGGAUGAAGGUUUUCGGAUUGUAAACCCUUUCAUGAGGAAAGAUAAAGUGGGUAACCGACUUAGACGGUACCUCAAGAAGAAGCCACGGCGUAACUUCGUGCCAGCAGCCGCGGUAAAGUCUAG
RNAcentral lists this ribosomal RNA (507 nucleotides) under uncultured bacterium. Its description in RNAcentral is "bacterial SSU rRNA". It matches the Rfam family "Bacterial small subunit ribosomal RNA", at positions 29 to 530 of the family's 1533-position model. The record is from RNAcentral.